This 467-nucleotide ribosomal RNA is filed under the name uncultured bacterium. RNAcentral describes it as "partial 16S ribosomal RNA". It matches the Rfam family "Bacterial small subunit ribosomal RNA", at positions 28 to 507 of the family's 1533-position model. The record is from RNAcentral.
GACGAACGCUGGCGGCGUGCUUAACACAUGCAAGUCGAACGGAAAGGCCCUGCUUUUGUGGGGUGCUCGAGUGGCGAACGGGUGAGUAACACGUGAGUAACCUGCCCUUGACUUUGGGAUAACUUCAGGAAACUGGGGCUAAUACCGGAUAGGAGCUCCUGCUGCAUGGUGGGGGUUGGAAAGUUUCGGCGGUUGGGGAUGGACUCGCGGCUUAUCAGCUUGUUGGUGGGGUAGUGGCUACCAAGGCUUUGACGGGUAGCCGGCCUGAGAGGGUGACCGGCCACAUUGGGACUGAGAUACGGCCCAGACUCCUACGGGAGGCAGCAGUGGGGAAUACUGCACAAUGGGCGGAAGCCUGAUGCAGCAACGCCGCGUGCGGGAUGACGGCCUUCGGGUUGUAAACCGCUUUCGCCUGUGACGAAGCGUGAGUGACGGUAAUGGGUAAAGAAGCACCGGCUAACUACGUG